UACGGGAGGCAGCAGUGGGGAAUAUUGCACAAUGGGCGCAAGCCUGAUGCAGCCAUGCCGCGUGUAUGAAGAAGGCCUUCGGGUUGUAAAGUACUUUCAGUCGUGAGGAAGGUGUUAAGGUUAAUAACCUUAGCAAUUGACGUUAGCGACAGAAGAAGCACCGGCUAACUCCGUGCCAGCAGCCGCGGUAAUACGGAGGGUGCGAGCGUUAAUCGGAAUUACUGGGUGUAAAGGGCACGCAGGCGGUUAAUUAAGUUGGAUGUGAAAUCCCCGGGCUUAACCUGGGAAUGGCAUUCAAGACUGGUUAGCUAGAGUCUUGUAGAGGGGGUAGAAUUCCAUGUGUAGCGGUGAAAUGCGUAGAGAUGUGGAGGAAUACCGGUGGCGAAGGCGGCCCCUGGGACAAAGGACUGACGCUCAUGUGCGAAAGCGUGGGGAGCGAAACAGGGAUUAGAUACC
RNAcentral lists this ribosomal RNA (456 nucleotides) under uncultured bacterium. Its description in RNAcentral is "bacterial SSU rRNA". It matches the Rfam family "Bacterial small subunit ribosomal RNA", at positions 340 to 786 of the family's 1533-position model. The record is from RNAcentral.